AAAAAAUGCCUCUGAAAAUGUGAAACCUGACUUUCUCUAAUAAAUAGUCUUGGUCAAAAUAAUUUUAGACUUCUUGAAGAUGAAACUAAUUUAGAAAGAGCACUGGUCACUAGAAUGUGAAUGUGUCUGAGUCACUACUUUAUGUACCUUCAUGGUUUCGAAUGCUUUAUUCAAAACAUUUUAUUAUCUGAAGCCACAACUUUACAUUUAAAAGAUCCAUGCACACCUGAUAUAAAAGAUUUGAUGGAAGUGAUCGUUACAUUUAUUUAAUUAUCUUAAAGAUUAAAAAUUAAGUUUAAAAAUGUACAUGGAGCCAUCUUACACAUAAAAUGGCAACACGUUCUCACUCCCAACUCGUCAAAUGUGUGACGCAUGGUCAGGCUCCCUCUGCUUCACUUAUCGACGUGCAGGGCACCCCCCUCGCGUCGAGAACAGCAGUGUUACAGGUGUGGGGAAAAUACAUAAGACUGCAGUGAAGCGAUGUACCAGAUUAAUCCCUGGCCAAAGAACAGUUCUCCACAGUCGCUGUCCACAUGGGUCAGUGGGACCAAGAAGCACUCUGCUAAUGUGUGGACUCUGACCAGCAACAUCCAGCAAGACCCAGACACCGUUUUCUAUCUCCCAGCUGGAGUUUUUUGUUUGUGACUGGAGAGUCAGAUUUUUGUUGAAGCUGGAGGAACAGCCUCACACUUGCAGAGGUAAGUCAGUUUGUAGAGAUCCCUCCCACCCUGGCUUUUAUGUGCUAGAUUUUCUUAUCUGAAACAGUAACACUUCAGUGACUGCUGCCUAUACCACACGCUACUGAUCCCUGAUGGGAGAAUCAUCACCUCUGGCAACAAAGAAGCCUGCUGGAUAUUUGUUUACAAUCUGAUUAUGGGACAUCAUGCUCUGUAUCUUCAAAGUUUGUCUCUUGAUUAUUAUUCAUACACAGUAAUGUGAAGCAUGCUUAUAUCUAGUAUAACUGGACCAACCUAGUGCUCUUCAUUUAUGGAGGCUGUUGAGUCUGAAUGUUGGAUGUUGUGUAUCUCGUGUUCUCUGGGCUUUGCUGUCCUCAGUCUUUUUGCAGGAUCAGAAAACAAAACUAGGAGACCUGUAAAUGUUUCUUCCUCAACUGGAUGAUGAUAAGACUGUGACACGGGAUGCCACCUUUAGUCUUGUGAUGAAGCAAAGCUCAGGAAGAAGUGCGAUUAAAUGGUACCCACAUGUGUGCUGCUGAGAAGGAUGUACAGGGGCACAUGCAGCCAAAUCCAAGCCUCCUCAGGAGUGUUUCUGAGUGAGGGAGAGAGGAGUCAUCAUCCAGGUAAAGUGACGUGGAUCAGUUGUCUCCCCUUUACAGGAGACAAUCCGAGUCAUCCUUAAAUAUGGGCAGGAUAUCAGUCUUGGACUGUCUGACCUGCAGCACUGAAUGAUCACCACACAUGAGCAUGUUCCUGCAACAUUCAGCAGCUUUGUUUUUGUGUCAAAUGUCAAACAGCUGGAGAGGAAACUACACCAGUACUGGGUUGUUUAACCAACACGUGCCAGAUGCUGUUUCUUCAUGGUUUCAUCGCCAGAGACAGCCCCGCCCACCUCAGGACCUCGCCAUUGAUCAUGAUGAUUAUAAUGAUGACAGCGAGUAGAACUAAGACUGUAAAAAUCCACGACCAGAAUGUUUAGAUGCUUUCUAAUUAUUAAUGAAUACUGAGAGCCUCUUUCUGUGUUUUGUCUGUUUUGGGGUUUUUUUUUUUUUACCUCAUUUGUUACUAACAAAGUUCACCAAACUCACACAGUUUACAUUCUGUAUGUUUCCAUCUUUACCAGCCACACUCUAACUGCAUUUAAGAAAAUAAUCCUUAGAAAUCAUUGUUUUUCUCUUUUGUAAUUGAUGAUAAUUCAGUGAAUAUACUGCGCUGCUUCCUUUUAUUGCAUCACACAUUGCUUUAAGUUUUUCAGUGUUCAGUUAUUUUUUACUGCUGUUUGAAUUCAAUGUAUGUUUGACCCUGUAGACUGUUUAAUGGACUGCUUGUCUUCCUGUUUGUAACCACUGCCUGUUUUUGACUAAAGAUUUGGAUUUCUGACUUUAACACAGCCUCUGCGUGUCCUCCCUUUGUGUCCUC
Long non-coding RNA from Oreochromis aureus, 2096 nucleotides. Lineage: Eukaryota; Metazoa; Chordata; Actinopteri; Cichliformes; Cichlidae. The record is from Ensembl.